UAAAUAGCCCGUAUUGCUUUGGCAGUACGCUGGCUUCUUAGAGGGACUAUUGAUUCAAAUCAGUGGAAGUGCGAGGCAAUAACAGGUCUGUGAUGCCCUUAGAUGUUCUGGGCCGCACGCGCGUUACACUGACAGAGCCAGCGAGUUCUUCCUUGGCCGAAAGGCCCG
Molecule: ribosomal RNA, 168 nt
Filed under: Barbatosphaeria sp.
Lineage: Eukaryota; Fungi; Ascomycota; Sordariomycetes; Barbatosphaeriales; Barbatosphaeriaceae
Description: partial small subunit ribosomal RNA
Rfam family: Eukaryotic small subunit ribosomal RNA
Source: RNAcentral